Molecule: long non-coding RNA, 468 nt
Organism: Xiphophorus couchianus (Monterrey platyfish)
Lineage: Eukaryota; Metazoa; Chordata; Actinopteri; Cyprinodontiformes; Poeciliidae
Exons: 2
Source: RefSeq, a predicted model, not a curated record
GAGGAGGAAGAUAGGAGCUAAUUCAACAACUGCUCAGUCAGUUUGAUGGAUGAAAAUAUGGUGUUAGAUGAUGUGAAGUCUUACAGCUCUAUUCUGCCCCUGAACGGCGCACUGGGAUGUAGGAGCAUCGAGGUGGGGGGCGGUUGCAGACCGAGCUCCUUCACGUCGCUUUCGAGAGAGAGGAAAGAAGCGCAGAGGUGUGUGUGGCGGCCCGGCAGAAAUGAAAAGACACAGUCAGCUGUCCGCCGCCGCCGCCUUCUCAGGUAGCACACCUCGACUGGAGGCGAGGUGAUGAAAGAAGGCCUUGUGGGUGUAGAAGCUCUCAGUAUUCAGCCUCGGCGCCGCUCACUCACCGCCAACCUCCGAGGAGAGUUGGAGCUCCUCUUUACAAGCAGAUGUUCCAUUAGAGCCAAAUGGGGGGAAAUUAGAGAUCUGAUGGGAAAUAAAUGCGAAGUGACUUUUAAACAU